GUCGAGCGAACGGACGAGAAGCUUGCUUCUCUGAUGUUAGCGGCGGACGGGUGAGUAACACGUGGAUAACCUACCUAUAAGACUGGGAUAACUUCGGGAAACCGGAGCUAAUACCGGAUAAUAUUUUGAACCGCAUGGUUCAAAAGUGAAAGACGGUCUUGCUGUCACUUAUAGAUGGAUCCGCGCUGCAUUAGCUAGUUGGUAAGGUAACGGCUUACCAAGGCAACGAUGCAUAGCCGACCUGAGAGGGUGAUCGGCCACACUGGAACUGAGACACGGUCCAGACUCCUACGGGAGGCAGCAGUAGGGAAUCUUCCGCAAUGGGCGAAAGCCUGACGGAGCAACGCCGCGUGAGUGAUGAAGGUCUUCGGAUCGUAAAACUCUGUUAUUAGGGAAGAACAUAUGUGUAAGUAACUGUGCACAUCUUGACGGUACCUAAUCAGAAAGCCACGGCUAACUACGUGCCAGCAGCCGCGGUAAUACGUAGGUGGCAAGCGUUAUCCGGAAUUAUUGGGCGUAAAGCGCGCGUAGGCGGUUUUUUAAGUCUGAUGUGAAAGCCCACGGCUCAACCGUGGAGGGUCAUUGGAAACUGGAAAACUUGAGUGCAGAAGAGGAAAGUGGAAUUCCAUGUGUAGCGGUGAAAUGCGCAGAGAUAUGGAGGAACACCAGUGGCGAAGGCGACUUUCUGGUCUGUAACUGACGCUGAUGUGCGAAAGCGUGGGGAUCAAACAGGAUUAGAUACCCUGGUAGUCCACGCCGUAAACGAUGAGUGCUAAGUGUUAGGGGGUUUCCGCCCCUUAGUGCUGCAGCUAACGCAUUAAGCACUCCGCCUGGGGAGUACGACCGCAAGGUUGAAACUCAAAGGAAUUGACGGGGACCCGCACAAGCGGUGGAGCAUGUGGUUUAAUUCGAAGCAACGCGAAGAACCUUACCAAAUCUUGACAUCCUUUGACAACUCUAGAGAUAGAGCUUUCCCCUUCGGGGGACAAAGUGACAGGUGGUGCAUGGUUGUCGUCAGCUCGUGUCGUGAGAUGUUGGGUUAAGUCCCGCAACGAGCGCAACCCUUAAGCUUAGUUGCCAUCAUUAAGUUGGGCACUCUAAGUUGACUGCCGGUGACAAACCGGAGGAAGGUGGGGGAUGACGUCAAAUCAUCAUGCCCCUUAUGAUUUGGGCUACACACGUGCUACAAUGGACAAUACAAAGGGCAGCGAAACCGCGAGGUCAAGCAAAUCCCAUAAAGUUGUUCUCAGUUCGGAUUGUAGUCUGCAACUCGACUACAUGAAGCUGGAAUCGCUAGUAAUCGUAGAUCAGCAUGCUACGGUGAAUACGUUCCCGGGUCUUGUACACACCGCCCGUCACACCACGAGAGUUUGUAACACCCGAAGCCGGUGGAGUAACCUUUU
RNAcentral lists this ribosomal RNA (1403 nucleotides) under Staphylococcus aureus. RNAcentral describes it as "bacterial SSU rRNA". It matches the Rfam family "Bacterial small subunit ribosomal RNA". Lineage: Bacteria; Bacillati; Bacillota; Bacilli; Caryophanales; Staphylococcaceae. The record is from RNAcentral.